UAAAAAAAACCAAAAAUACAAAAAAAGAUUGGUGGGAAAAGAAGAAAUUUUUUUUUUUGGGGGGUUUUUUUAGUGGGGGGGCGCCGGGGGGGGGGUGUAAAAAAAUGGGGGGAGAAUUUUCCCUUAAAAGGGUUUGGGGAAAUAAACUGGGGGGAAAACUUUUUGGCUAAUUCCCGGGAUGUUUCCCGUAAGGGAAAAAAAUUUUAUUGCCUUUUAGAGGAGCCCCCCCCUAGGAUUAGUUUGUUGGGGAAGUAAGAAGCUCCCCCCAAGGCUUCGGAUCUAUAGCUGAUUUGAGAGGAGGAUCACCCCCCCUGGGACUGAGAACACGGCCCAGAUUCCUCCGGGAGGCAGCAGUGGGGAAUAUUGGACAUGGGGGGAAAACCCUGAUCCAGCAAUGCCGCGUGAGUGAAGAAAGCCUUCGGGGUUGUAAAACUCUUUCAUCAAUGAAGAUAAUGACAUUAAUUGAAGAAGAAGCUCCGGCUAACUCCGUGCCAGCAGCCGCGGUAAUACGGAGGGGGCUAGCGUUGUUCGGAAUCACUGGGCGUAAAGCGUAUGUAGGCGGAUCAAAAAGUUAGAUGUGAAAUCCCUGGGCUUAACCUAGGAACUGCAUUUAAAACUAGUGAUCUAGAAUUUGGUAGAGGUCAGUAGAAUUUCCAGUGUAGAGGUGAAAUUCGUAGAUAUUGGAAAGAAUACCAGUGGCGAAGGCGACUAACUGGGCCAUUUUUGACGCUGAGAUACGAAAGCGUGGGUAGCAAACAGGAUUAGAUACCCUGGUAGUCCACGCAGUAAACGAUGAGUGCUAGUCGCUGGGUCAAUAGAUUCGGUGUCGAAGCUAACGCAUUAAGCACUCCGCCUGGGAAGUACGGUCGCAAGAUUAAAACUCAAAUAAAUUGACGGGGGCCCGCACAAGCGGUGGAGCAUGUGGUUUAAUUCGAAGCAACGCGAAGAACCUUACCAGACCUUGACAUGGUAUGUUUGAAUUACAGAAUCGUAAUUCUUCAGUUCGGCUGGCAUACACACAGGUGCUGCAUGGCUGUCGUCAGCUCGUGUCGUGAGAUGUUGGGUUAAGUCCCGCAACGAGCGCAACCCUCAUCUUUAGUUGCCAGCAGGUUAAGCUGGGCACUCUAAAGAAACUGCCGGUGAUAAGCUGGAGGAAGGCGGGGAUGACGUCAAGUCCUCAUGGCCCUUACGGUCUGGGCUACACACGUGCUACAAUGGUGGUGACAGUGGGCAGCUAUGUCGCGAGACAAAGCUAAUCCCAAAAAGCCAUCUCAGUUCAGAUUGGACUCUGCAACUCGAGUCCAUGAAGUUGGAAUCGCUAGUAAUCGUAGAUCAGCAUGCAGCUGUAUUUGGGCUU
RNAcentral lists this ribosomal RNA (1357 nucleotides) under uncultured bacterium. RNAcentral describes it as "partial 16S ribosomal RNA". It matches the Rfam family "Bacterial small subunit ribosomal RNA", at positions 60 to 1373 of the family's 1533-position model. The record is from RNAcentral.